CCUGUAGUCGGUGAUGUGCUGUAGGCCUUGCCACUCCGGCCUGGAGUCAGCAGUGGAGUAGAAGCCAUCCAGCUUCUCUCUGUACCGCCAUUGAUGCUAAAGCUCUGAUUGAUAAUUGUAAAACUGUGUGACGGUGUUUGCCCUUGUGAUGAGUUAGUGUGCAUAUUUCAAUGGCAGUGUGUUCCUUGUGAAAACAAGAUAUUUUCUGCAUGAAAAUUGUGCCAAAAGCCGAAUUGUGUGUAGUGUUUUGAAAAAAGUGUGUUUUAGAACUGCAAUUUGAGUGUAAAGCAGGGAUUGUGCUUGUAGUUUAGCAGAAUUGGUUCAGGGGGUUGGUGACUGAGUUACAUGUUGUGGUCAUUGUGUCUCAAGUACCAGAAUUUGUGUGUAAACAACUCUGAAAAACUGUAAUAUUUUUACUUUCCUUAGUCAUUUUGGUGAUGGGUGCUUUUGGUUUGAGCACCUGCCCCCCAAAAUGUCUGUGCACGUGCCUGGUUUUUCCCGGAUGUAUAUCCAUGCAUCUUUUAUAUUCAGGGAUGUAUAUCCAUGCAUCUUUUAUAUUCAAUUUACUCGGUUUCUGAUCUGGCAGGUCCAGAUGAGAAACAGUAUGCUGGGACAGCUUUGGCCUAAUAGAAAAUGGGGGGAAGCUUUACGAAAGUAGAGAAGAAGCUCAUCUGUCCAAUAUUGUCCUUCCCCGUGUCCUCACACAGGGCUCUCCCCUUCAUGGCCAUCAGCCGCUCAUGUUUAUCAGAUAGCUUGGAGUUAUUGAAGUAUUGCCUUUUGAUCAUUUCAUCUCUGGUCAUUUCAGCCUCUGACUGCUUUUGCUCUUGGCCCAACCUCUCAGUCACUAUGCGAGGAAAUUUGGUGUUUUGUGCCUCUGUCUCUCUGACACAGUUCAUUCUGGAAAUGUUGUCCCAAUGGUUUUGGACUUCAGUCUUCUUCAACUCUGUCUUUCUCUGUUCCUGCCACCUGCAGAACUUUCCGUCGUGUCCAUACUGGAAUGGAAAUACUUGCUCAUUUCCCCUUCUCAACGGCCUCUCUUUUGCUUUCUGCAGUUCAUUUUUUAAGAUAAGCUGGUGUUGAUAUUCCGCUAAAUCUAGGCUCAUGAGUUUUCUGUGAACAUUCCUUUCCGAAUGAUGAGUUUGAAGCUCAUCUAAAGGACUGGGCUUUUUUUGCAAAAGAUCCAGGUACUCAUCCUUUGCUGAGAUUUGGGUCGGCUCCUCGUCAAUCUCCAUAGGUCGUGUUUCUACAGAGUUGUUGAUGGCUGCAUACUCUGGCCUGCUGAUCAGCCUUCUGUACCGACUGGAUCUCUUAGGGUUUGUCAUUGGCUCUUCUCGUGGAGGAGUUGGCUGUAGUUUUCCCAUGUCUAUUUGUCCCGGUUUGAACACCAUGACUGUGUCCAACUCUAUAUCUGUAACUGCCAUAUAUGCAGCUUCAUUCUCUCUCCCUCUCUGUGUUCUCUCUUUGUCUUUCUGCAGUUCGUUUUCCAUGAUAAUCUGGCGUUGAUUUCCCCCCAAAUCUAGGCUCAUGGGUUUUCUGCAAACAUUACUUUCCUGAUGAUGAGUUUGAAGCUCAUCUAAAGGACUGGGCUUUUUUUGCAAAAGCUCCAGGUACUCAUCCUUUGCUGAGAUUUGCUUUGGCUCCUCAUCAAUCUCCAUAAAUUCUGUUUCUAUAGAGUUGUUGAUGGCUCCAUGCACUGGCCUGCUGAUCAGCCUUCUGUACCGACUGGAUCUCUUAGGGUUUGUCGACUGCUUUUCCACUGGAGGAGUUGGAUAGUGCCCCAUGUCCAUAUGGGUGAACACCAUGACAUCUUCCAUCUUUUUCUGUUGGGUUUUUGCUGCCUCUGUUCUAAUUCUAUUGUGAUCCAUUGCAGAUUUUGAAUAAGUUUAGUAAUAGUUGUCCUUAUAUUUAAAUAGUUAAAGUGGCUCUUAAGGAACUUGGCUCUUAAGGAACUCACUG
Long non-coding RNA from Gasterosteus aculeatus aculeatus (three-spined stickleback), 1956 nucleotides. The record is from Ensembl. Lineage: Eukaryota; Metazoa; Chordata; Actinopteri; Perciformes; Gasterosteidae.